This is a non-coding RNA of Pelodiscus sinensis (Chinese soft-shelled turtle), 226 nucleotides long. Lineage: Eukaryota; Metazoa; Chordata; Testudines; Trionychidae. The record is from RefSeq and is a predicted model, not a curated record.
CCUGUUUCUGUGUGUCUGAGAAAGCUAGCAGAGCCCUCGCUAUUGUUUCUGGCGAACAAAACCCCCCACAAAAUUCAGAAAUGAAAGGUCAAUGGAGGCUGGUGACAUCUGAAAGUGGACAGGAAAUGCUGACAAGUUAAUGUACAGUAGUUUCAGAAGUCCUUUUAUCGGGCCAGUUAAGAGCCAUAUCUAUGCUCAUUUGUAUGAAACCCAAGGGACAUUAUCC